Passer domesticus (house sparrow) is the source of this 832-nucleotide long non-coding RNA. RefSeq lists it as uncharacterized. The record is from RefSeq and is a predicted model, not a curated record. Lineage: Eukaryota; Metazoa; Chordata; Aves; Passeriformes; Passeridae. The transcript has 2 exons.
GCAGGCAGCUGCUCUGACCUCACAGCCGUGGUGGCUCUGCUUUCACAAUUGGGGUGCCCAGGGUGGUAGCCACGUGGCAACUGUGUGUCUGCACAUCCCCAUUUUGGUUUGCAAAAGGCCGUGCUGGCAGGCCUGCCUGAAGGUCAGAUGGUUCCUCCUACCAGCUAACCAGUCUUGAUUGCAACAGCUCUGCUAAUUGUGGAUAUCAGUGAGAGAUUAUCUGACUUUCACCAGCUCAGGUGCUCCACCUACACUUAGUCACAGUCAAAGAUUUGUUUUGCGCUUUUUUUUUUUUGAUGUUUAAAAGGUUAGAAUGCACUGCUCCAAGCUAUAAUGGACAAAAGAGCACAUUUUAAGUGAAAUUAAACCAUGCUUCUCUCAAUUUAAAUAGAAUACAUUAGCUCUGCUGGUACAUUGCUCCAUAAGAAUGGUAGCACCUGCAACUUCACAGGCAUCCAUAAAAUAUUUUUGUAAACAUCAAAUUACUGAACAUAGUACAACACCCUCUGCAAUCAAUCAACAUUUUCCUUUCUUACUACAAAAUUUGUCUCAUAAACCUGAAUUAAUAAUCAAUUAAAUCUAAACCCCAGGUUGUGCUCCCAGGGAAUGGGCGCAGCCCCGAGGCUGCCAGAGCUCCAGGAGUGUUUGGACAAUGCUCUCAGAGAUGCCAGGGUGGGAUUGUUGGGGUGUCUGUGCAGGGCAGGAGUUGCACUUGAUGAUCCUUGUGGACCCCUGUCAUCUCAGGAGAUUCUAUGAUUUUACAAUUUCCUUCUCAAGCUAUCAGCUGGCACUUGCCACCGAGCAAGAAUAAAACCAAAUCCAUUUACAAGAA